Molecule: ribosomal RNA, 253 nt
Filed under: uncultured bacterium
Lineage: Bacteria
Description: partial 16S ribosomal RNA
Rfam family: Bacterial small subunit ribosomal RNA
Source: RNAcentral
UACAGAGGUCUCAAGCGUUGUUCGGAUUCAUUGGGCGUAAAGGGUGCGUAGGCGGCGCGGUAAGUCGGGUGUGAAAUCUCGGAGCUUAACUCCGAAACUGCAUUCGAUACUGCCGUGCUUGAGGACUAGAGAGGAGACUGGAAUUUACGGUGUAGCGGUGAAAUGCGUAGAUAUCGUAAGGAAGACCAGUGGCGAAGGCGGGUCUCUGGACAGUUCCUGACGCUGAGGCACGAAGGCCAGGGGAGCAAACGGG